Molecule: ribosomal RNA, 334 nt
Filed under: uncultured bacterium
Lineage: Bacteria
Description: bacterial SSU rRNA
Rfam family: Bacterial small subunit ribosomal RNA
Source: RNAcentral
UAACAGUUAAGAAAUGACUGCUAAUACCGGAUGAUGACUUCGGUACCAAAGUAUUUAUCGCCGGAGGGAGUGGGCCCGCGUAGGAUUAGCUAGUUGGUGGGGUAAAGGCCUACCAAGGCGACGAUCCUUAGCUGGUCUGAGAGGAUGAUCAGCCACACUGGGACUGAGACACGGCCCAGACUCCUACGGGAGGCAGCAGUGGGGAAUAUCGGACAAUGGGCGAAAGCCUGAUCCAGCAAUGCCGCGUGAGUGAUGAAGGCCUUAGGGUUGUAAAGCUCUUUUACCAGGGAUGAUAAUGACAGUACCUGGAGAAUAAGCUCCGGCUAACUCCGUG